GAUGAAGAACGCAGCGAAAUGCGAUAAGUAAUGUGAAUUGCAGAAUUCAGUGAAUCAUCGAAUCUUUAAACGCACAUUGCGCCCCCUGGUAUUCCGGGGGGCAUGCCUGUCCGAGCGUCAUUACAACCCUCAAGCUCAGCUUGGUAUUGGGCCCCGCCGCUCCGGCGGGCCCUAAAGUCAGUGGCGGUGCCGUCCGGCUCCGAGCGUAGUAAUUCUUCUCGCUCUGGAGGUCCGGUCGUGUGCUCGCCAGCAACCCCCAAUUUUUUUCAGGUUGACCUCGGAUCAGGUAGGGAUACCCGCUGAACUUAAGCAUAUCAAUAAGCGGAGGA
This 329-nucleotide unclassified non-coding RNA is filed under the name soil metagenome. RNAcentral's name for it is "partial contains 5.8S ribosomal RNA, internal transcribed spacer 2, and large subunit ribosomal RNA". The stretch from base 1 to 120 matches the Rfam family "5.8S ribosomal RNA", at positions 35 to 154 of the family's 154-position model. The record is from RNAcentral.